This 372-nucleotide ribosomal RNA is filed under the name uncultured organism. RNAcentral's name for it is "bacterial SSU rRNA". It matches the Rfam family "Bacterial small subunit ribosomal RNA", at positions 526 to 896 of the family's 1533-position model. The record is from RNAcentral.
CAGAGGGUGCGAGCGUUGUCCGGAAUCACUGGGCGUAAAGGGCGCGUAGGUGGCGACCCAAGUCGAUGGUGAAAGCUCGCCGCUCAACGGCGAGUCGGCCACCGAUACUGGGUUGCUCGAGCACUGUAGAGGCUAAUGGAAUUCCGGGUGUAGCGGUGGAAUGCGUAGAGAUCCGGAAGAACACCGGUGGCGAAGGCGGUUCGCUGGGCAGUUGCUGACACUGAGGCGCGACAGCGUGGGGAGCAAACAGGAUUAGAUACCCUGGUAGUCCACGCCGUAAACGAUGGGCACUAGAUGCUUGGGGGAGCGACCCCCUGAGUGUCGUCGCUAACGCAUUAAGUGCCCCGCCUGGGGAGUACGGCCGCAAGGCUG